AAGGUCUCUGGUAGGGCUGAAGUUUGAAUUUGUAACAAGUUCUCAGGUGAUACAGAUGCCUUAGGACUGGGCCAAACUUUGAGAAUUAUCAUUAAAUCCUUUAUCAAAUGUAUUUGGUAAAUAGUGGAGUAAAGUACCUACUGAAUCAGAAUCUGCAUUUUAAUAAGAUCCCAAAAAUUCUGAUUGAUUUAGUUUGGGGUGAGGCUUGGACAUUGGUACUUAAAAAAUGAUUUUGAUAUGUACCCAAGAGUUGAGAACUGCUGCUUUACUGGUGUAAAAAAUCUCUCUUACAGCCAUGUUCGGGGCAGCACUUAUUACAUAUGUACCAAAAAAAAAGUAUAGUCAUGGUAUGUGGUUUGAGAAACAUUUCAACAGCAAAGAUCUAUAAAUUCAGUUGGGAGAGAGGAAAGAGGUCAUCAUAGAUCCAUUUUUUUCCCCACACAAUCUCAUCCCUAUAGUGUCAUGGAAAAUGGAGUGAUUUCAUUUUACUAUGAAUCCGUUUUACAUAAUAUCUAUUGAAAUAGCAUUAAAGCUUGAUUUUUAAAAUUCUGGUGUCUUAUGGUCUCUAUAUUAGGUAAGAUAUGGAAGAUAUUUUAGAUUUUUUUUUUUAAUGGGAGAAAAGAGACUAUAUUUAGGUAGAGAAAGUAUUGUCAGUCCUAACUUACUCAAACUGGCUUACUUCUGUGUACUUACGUUGUCAUAUUUGCCACAAAUGUGAUUUACAAAAUAAUAGCUAUAUGUUUGUAGGAUUGUAGCUGUAGGAUUCAGCUUUUCAUAAUGGUCAAUCUUUAGCUGAAACUUAUAGAUAUGUAUUUAUAUAUUGAAGAUAAAGAAUUUUUAUCAAGGAUAUAAGUUCAGAAUAUUCAACAAGUAGAGUCGUCUCUUGAUAUCUGCCAGGGAUUGGUUCCAAGACCCCCCUCGAAUACCAAAAUCUGCAGAUGCUCAAGUUCCUAAUAUAAAAUGACAUAGUAUUUGCAUAUAACAUACGCACGUACUCCUGUAUACUUUAAAUCAUCUCUAGAUAACUUAUAAUACCUAAUACAAUGUAAAUGCUAUGUAAAUAGUUGUAAAUAAAAUGUAAAUGCUAUGUAAAUAGUUGCCAAUGCUCUGGCAAAUUCAAGCUUUGCUUUUUGGAACUUUCUGGAAUUUUUCUUCCACGCAUUUUCAGUAUGAAGUUGGUUGAAUCCGUGGAUACAGAAUCCAUGGAUAACAGAGGCCCUGCUGUAGUCAGAAGUCCAAGAUAUGAACAGCUUGAAAUAAUCUGAUCUAGUAAAUGAAUAUAACUGACAAUUACUUAGCCUACUACCCAAGCUAUUUUUAUGAUCGAGAUACCGUUUAUCCAAGUGUUUUGUUAACUGUAAAAUGGUAUAAAUGUAAGCUUUUGAUAAGGUUACUAUUGUUAUGUUCACAGAAGGAAAUAACUUAGAAAAUUAGAAAACAAUAAAAUAUGCUUUUUAUUUAUAUAUCUGUGGUCAAGGUUGGUCAUUUGCUCUAAGACGUAUAUCAAUUUUUUCAAGUUCUUUAAAGUCAUAUGUAUCUUAGAGUAUAGUUGAGUUUUUUAUCAGUGGUGCAGGAUGAGCGAACACUUUUUUUAUAGUCACCUCGUAAUCAAAAUACAAUCUCAAGUUAAUGAGUGACUAACCUUCACGGAACAAAAAACAUUGCUUCAGAUUUUGUUAAUUACUAUAUGAUAAAUUGAUAGAAAUUUAGGGGAGGAUAAUAUCCAUUGUGGCACAGUGGUAGCAAAUCCGACUAGUAUCCAUGAGGAUGCAGGUUCGAUCCCUGGCCUGACUCAGUGGGUUAAGGAUUUGGUGUUGCCUCGAGCUGUGGUGUAGGUUGCAGACACUGCGCGGAUCCCACAUUGCUGUGACCAUGGCAUAGACCAGCAGCUGCAGCUCUGAUUGGGCCACUAGCCUGGGAGCUUCCAUAUGCUGCAGGUGCAGCCCUAAAAAGACAAAUAUCUCUAUCUAUCUAUCUAUCUAUCUAUCUAUCUAUCAAUCAUCUAUCUAUCUAUCUAUCUCUCUCUCUCUCUCUCCAUAUAUAUAUAUGGAGAGAGAGAGAGAGAGAAAGAGAAAGAGAGGAGGAAAAGCCUUGAAGAUUAGGCAGUCUUCCAUUUCAUUUUAAAGUGGUGUAAUUGAGAAGAGAAAAAUUUAGUUGAUUAUCUAUAGAUUUGAGUGACCACUUGAGAAAUAGAGUUCAUGUCUCUGGAUUCUCAUUUCAAACUCUUUAUUCCACAUUACCACUAAAAUUAUCUUCUUGGUUUGCAUGUUAUACCAUGAUCUACCAUUUUCUACGCCCUUAAAAAUUAUGCUAAAAAUGUCUCUCCCUCUCUUCUCUGCCUUCUUCUCCCCUCGAUCCCCUCCUUCUUUCUUUCCUCCUCUCCCUGUCCUUUCCCUCCGCUCCCGUUGCCUCCUCUCUUCUCUAUUUUCCUUUCUCCCCCCUCUUCUGCCCUCUUUUCUUCUCUUUCUCUUCCCCACGAAUAAAAACUGAACUUUCCUGUGGGGGAAACAUACUUAAGGUAAUAGAAUGAUUUGAUUUAUGUAUAAAUUGUAACAUGAUUACUAAAAUCAAAUUAUUACAUCCAUCACCUCACAUAGUUGUGUGUGUGUGUGUGUGUGUGUGUGUGUUUGUGUGUGGUGAGAACACCCAAAGUCUACUCUCCAAACAAACUUCAGAUACACAACCCAGCAUUAUUAAUGUCACCAUGCUCUCCUUUAGAUCCUCAGAACUUAUCUUAUAACUGAAAGUUUGUACCUUUUGACUAAAUCUCCACACUUAGGCUGCUCCCUCAACCCCCUGAUAGUCACCAUUCUACUUUAUUCCUCUAAGUUAUUUUUUUUUGGGGGAUUCUGUUUAUAAGUGAGAUAAUACAGAAUUUGGCUUGCUCUGUCUAGCUUCUUUCACUUAGCAUAAUGUCUUCUGGGUUCAUGCAUAUUGUCACAGAUGGCAGGAUUUUCUUCUUUUUUCAUAGAUGAAUAAUGUUCCAUCAUAUGUGUGUAGAUACAAAUCUCACAUUUUAUUUGUCCAUUCAUAGAUCAGUGAAUGCUUAGAUUAUUUCUAUGUCUUGAAUAUUUUCAAUAAUGCUGCAGAGUACAGGAGUGCAGAUAGCUCUUUGAGAUACUGAUUCUGUUUCCUUUAGGUAUAUACCCAGAAGGGGGAUUACUACAGUAUAUGCAUACCUCAGUGUAUCAUUUACUACACUUAAACAUUAUAUUCACUUGUAUCUUGUUUCAGAUGUACUAUAAGCUUGUCAAAGGCAGGUAUCUCAACUACUUUACCUUUUUAUUCCAGAAUUUAGCUUGGUACCUAUAGGUAUUCAGAUUUAUAUUUGUUCACUGACUUGAACAGAGAGGGAGUCUCAUGCUAUAAAUCAAGCAGAGCCAAAUUGGUGUAUAAACGAAGAAACAAAUUAAUUAGAAGGAGACAUAGAUGAAGCAAGGUAUGCUAGUGGUUAAAUCAAUCACCUUUUUCAGUCUUCCAGAAAAAGUCAAAUAGGGUUUUUUUGUUUGUUUGUUUUUCUGUUUUUUUGCUAUUUCUUUGGGCCACUCCCGCGGCAUAUGGAGGUUCCCCGGCUAGGGGUCUAAUCGGAGCUGUAGCCAUUGGCCUACGCCAGAGUCACAGCAACACGGGAUCCGAGCCAUGUCUGCAACCUACACCACAGCUCACGGCAACGCCGGAUCCUUAACCCACUGAGCAAGGGACCGAACACCGAACCCGCAACCUCAUGGUUCCUAGUCAGAUUCGUUAACCACUGCGCCACGAUGGGAACUCCAAAUAGGGUUGUUUUAGAAGUAUCCCAAAGCUUUGGUUACAGGAACCCAGACAAAGUAUGUUUCUUCCUCUGAGAUUAGCAGCAUCUUAUAGAACUGAGAGUCACUCAGUGCUCCUGAGGGGAGAUGUGAAGAGCUCAGCCUCGCAGGUGGCUGUAAGAGAAGGAAGGGCGAUACCCUCACAGAGCUGCUGAGGCUUUCUUCCUUUAUGGUGGCUGUGGACUUGCAGGGACCAAGUUGGGGAUUGGGGAACAGGAUUGUUGUACAGCGGGUGUAUUCAUCUCAUCUCUUUUAAUUUCUUGUGAAAUGAGACAAGAGGAAGAUCACUCACUCUCAUUUGACUCAAAGUAAUUAUUUCUACUGAACAAUGAUGUCUACCUGAGUUUUACAGUGUAGGGUUCAUCAUUCCUGGAGAAAUUCCAGCUCGAACGUACAGUGAGCUUUGUAAUAAUCCCCAUUUCUCAUUAGUACAUCUUGCCAUAAUGCAUAAGGGCAUUAUUUGUAUUACGUCGAAGGAAAAAUGCAACCCAGCUUAUCAUACAAUAAUACAUUAGUGGAGUUCCCAUUGUGGCUCAGCGGUUAAUGAACCUGACUAGCAUCUGUGAGAAUGCAGGUUUGAUCCCUGGCUUCAUUUAGUGGGUUGGGGAUCCUGUGUUGCUGUGAGCUGCAGGAUAGGACACAGAUGCGGCUUGGAUCUCUUGUUGCUGUGGCUGUGGUGGAGGCCGGCAGCAGAAGCUCUGAUUCGACCUCUAGCCUGGGAACCUCCAUAUGCCACGGGUGCAGCCCUAAAAAGACAAAAAAAAAUGCAUUAGUAUUUAUUCCAUUAUAAUUUUUGAUGAUGCAUUACUGUACUGAAUGUUUAUAUUUUGAAAUUAUCUGGUUAAUAAUAUGCUUUCUAAAGUUGUGCUUUAAUCAUGCUACUAUUUGCCACACUACCUACUAGGAACAAAAAAUAACAAUGAAAAUGAUGCAGUUCAACACUAAGUCAUGAAUAGCCAGAGGAAAACCCUGAUUGGAAAAAAUAAUCUGUUUCCUUAUUUCUAAUAUUUGUGCUUCUUCAGUCACAUCUCAUUUGAGCAUAUGUAUAUCUGGAUGUUUGUUUUAUCGGGUUUGAACCACUUAUGGCUGCCAGUUUAUGGCUAAUCUUCAUCUUGAGAUAAUCAAAGAUUGCUGUCAUCUUUUGUGCAUUCAUGAUACAAUUGCAUGAGCAUAUCUCAGGAUAAGUAUUUUCUAUUACUGAAAAUUAACUUAGGAGACAAAUGGAUUUUUUAAAAUUUAUUAUUUUUAUUAACAAGAUUUAGGCUAUUUUUUUAUUUCUCCAAUACAUUAUUUAUUCUAGAAUUGAUGGUGAUGAAACUUCUUACCACUUGGAAAUUUUGUAAGGUUUAUUAGGCUUAGAAAAAAGUACUGAGUAAUUUUAUUUCGGCCUUUACAUCAAAAUACCAUUUAGUGCUCCAAGUCUCUCUUUCACACGUUCUUGUCAGUCUGCAAACCCCUUCAGUUAUUAAGAGGACUUCCCAGUAUCACCUUUUCUACCUGUACUUCCAUUCAUUCAUUCAUUGUUUCUUUCAUUACAAACAUUUACUGAACACCUGCUAUUGUCAGACAUUGAAGUAGGUGCUAGGAUUACAAUGAUAAACCAAAUGGAUGAAUAAAACAUCAAGAUAUCAAAUGAUACAAUGAAAAUAAAAGGAUGUGACAAAGUGUGACUAGGGUCUUGUUUGGACUGGAUAGUUGGGGAAGGAAUCUUUGAGGAGAUGACAUGUAAGUGGAAAUGUGAUUGACAAGUAAUUAGAUACGGGAGACUUGGGUGGAACAGCAUUCCAAGCAGAAGAAAGACAGUGCUAGGGCUAUAAGGUGGAAAUUAAACUGGGGGUAUUCAAGGAAGAGAUUAAAGGCAAGCUAGGGCUGGAGUAUAGGACCAAGUGGAAGAUGGGAAAGAGAUGGGUUUGAUGAAGGAGACAGGGACCCCUUCACAUGAAACCUGUUAGGCAGGGUGGGGCAUCUAGUUAUUAUUCUGAAGGCUAUGAGAAAGCACAGAGGGCUUCACUCAGCAGGGCCACUAGGAUCUGAUCUGCACUUAGAACACUGCUGUCUUUGUGGAGACGAAAUGCAAGUCUGGAGAGCAGCUGGGAGGCUAUCACCUCAGCCCAGGUGAGAGAUGAUGCAGUCUUCAGCUUGGGCAGCUGAUGCCCAAGGAAAUGGUAAGGAGUGGAUGGAAUUGCUAUAUGUUUUAAAGACAGAUUCAGUGGGGCUUGUUGGUUGAUUUGAUGGGAUGAAGGGUAAAAGGAAGAGAGGAAUCAAGGAUGAUCACGUUAAAUAACAUUAUAAAUCAGCAAAAAUAUUCCCAACUUUCCAAAAAGAAUGGGAAACAGCUGCGCUUGCUGAAAUUCCAAUGAAGCGAUUAGAUAACAUGAGGUGCAUGCAUUUCAUUUUGGACAUGAAUGCCCAGAAGGCUGGUCUGUCAUCUGUGGUGGAGGACCCCCAAAUGAUGCUUUGAGCAGCACAGCCAAUUGUAAAAGCAGACAGGGCCCAAAUGGAUUUUUUUUUAUUUCUUUUUGACCUAUCCUGUGUAUCUUUUGUGGCUCUAAUCUGAUGAACAAAUAUCUAUAAGGAACUGCUUAAAGUCUAUAGGGUAUCACUAGAAUAGAGAAACUUCUAGAUUGACCAUCAAGAGGCUUAGACCUUAGUUCCACAAAAACUAUUGUCUGUAUAAAGUGGAGAAUUAGCUUCCGUAGUUUCAAGUCUGAAAUGGGUAUAAUUCCUACUUGCCUCUUAAAUAAACAUGUUGGUGUGGUAAAGUGACAUUUUGUUUUUGAAUAUGAUUGAGUACAUCACAAGAAAUGAAUGAUGCUAUAAAAGGGAUGAUAUAUUCAAAUUAAAAAAAAAAAAAGGAAUUCCCAUUGUGGUGCAGCAGAAACAAAUCUGAUUAGUAACCAUGAGGUUGCAGGUUUGAUCCCUGGCCUUGCUCAGUGGGUUAAGGAUCCUGUGUUGCCGGGAGCUGUGGCGUAGGUCACAGAUGUGGCUUAGAUCCUGCAUUGUUAUGGCUGUGGCGUAGGCCCCUACACAACUGUAGCUCUGAUUCGACCCCUAGCCUGGAAUAUCCAUAUGCCACAGGUGUGGCC
This 6895-nucleotide long non-coding RNA is filed under the name Sus scrofa (pig). Its description in RNAcentral is "lncRNA (ENSSSCG00055017286.1)". The record is from RNAcentral. Lineage: Eukaryota; Metazoa; Chordata; Mammalia; Artiodactyla; Suidae.